RNAcentral lists this ribosomal RNA (301 nucleotides) under uncultured bacterium. Its description in RNAcentral is "partial 16S ribosomal RNA". It matches the Rfam family "Bacterial small subunit ribosomal RNA", at positions 509 to 807 of the family's 1533-position model. The record is from RNAcentral.
CAGUCGCCACGGUAAUACGUAGGUGGCAAGCGUUGUCCGGAAUUAUUGGGCGUAAAGGGCUCGCAGGCGGUUUCUUAAGUCUGAUGUGAAAGCCCCCGGCUCAACCGGGGAGGGUCAUUGGAAACUGGGAAACUUGAGUGCAGAAGAGGAGAGUGGAAUUCCACGUGUAGCGGUGAGAUGCGUAGAGAUGUGGAGGAACACCAGUGGCGAAGGCGACUCUCUGGUCUGUAACCGACGCUGAGGAGCGAAAGCGUGGGGAGCGAACAGGAUUAGAUACCCCCGUAGUCCCUGUCUCUUAUAC